Molecule: ribosomal RNA, 466 nt
Filed under: Acanthamoeba sp.
Lineage: Eukaryota; Discosea; Longamoebia; Acanthamoebidae
Description: SSU rRNA
Rfam family: Eukaryotic small subunit ribosomal RNA
Source: RNAcentral
GGCCCAGAUCGUUUACCGUGAAAAAAUUAGAGUGUUCAAAGCAGGCAGAUCCAAUUUUCUGCCACCGAAUACAUUAGCAUGGGAUAAUGGAAUAGGACCCUGUCCUCCUAUUUUCAUUGGGUUUGGCAGCGCGAGGACUAGGGUAAUGAUUAAUAGGGAUAGUUGGGGGCAUUAAUAUUUAAUUGUCAGAGGUGAAAUUCUUGGAUUUAUGAAAGAUUAACUUCUGCGAAAGCAUCUGCCAAGGAUGUUUUCAUUAAUCAAGAACGAAAGUUAGGGGAUCGAAGACGAUCAGAUACCGUCGUAGUCUUAACCAUAAACGAUGCCGACCAGCGAUUAGGAGACGUUGAAUACAAAACACCACCAUCGGUGCGGUCGUCCUUGGCGUCUCGGUCCUUCACGGGGCCGGGGCGCGGGGGUGGCUUAGCCCGGUGGCACCGGUGAAUGACUCCCCUAGCAGCUUGUGAGA